Long non-coding RNA from Octopus sinensis (East Asian common octopus), 410 nucleotides. RefSeq lists it as uncharacterized. The transcript has 2 exons. NCBI's taxonomy places the organism in Eukaryota, Metazoa, Mollusca, Cephalopoda, Octopoda, Octopodidae. The record is from RefSeq and is a predicted model, not a curated record.
UUUUCCCCUCUCUCUACAACACCUUGUCUUUCUAUGACACUCUCCCCCUCUGUCUACAACACCGUCUCACUCAGUCUAUAACCCCCUCCUCCUCUAAUUAAACCACAUGUCCUCCCCUUCUCUGCUUCUUCAACAUUUGUAAACAACAAGGUGAUGUUGUCGAGCCAUUCUCCUUAGUGUUGAAUCUCUUUUAUAUAUAUUUAUAUAUUUUCUUCCUCCACAAACUCACAAAAACACUCACCCAACCUCACAAACAUUCCCACCAACAUACAUAUAUACACCUAUAUAUUUAUUAUGAUACCUUUGAUGGAGCACACCUUCUGAAUUCUUCAACGCCUUAGAUGACCAUGUGAGGGACCCCGUUAUCUGCGAUAUUAAAUUAUUCUUCACCUGUCCAACUGAUUGGAUAG